This is a non-coding RNA of Mycena metata, 91 nucleotides long. Lineage: Eukaryota; Fungi; Basidiomycota; Agaricomycetes; Agaricales; Mycenaceae. The record is from the annotation of a GenBank genome assembly.
GCCCUGGUGGUGUAACAGUUAACACGCGUGAAUUGCAUAGGUGACCCCAUUGGCUCUUCGUGAGACCUUUGUUCGAUUCGGAGUCAGGCCG